CUCAUGGCUUCAGGAGAAAGUAGAAAUUGAAAAUCUCCAACAGAAGAUCCAGCUAGCACUGCAGCAUGUCCUACAGAAGAACCACCAAGAAGAUGGAAUUCUAACAAAGAAAGGCAAAGAAAAAUGUGGAGGCAUUGCCAAACUCUUUAGAAAACAGACUUGUAGCAGGCAGGCUGCGGGUCCAGUUGAGGUGGAGGCUAAGAGCACAACUGACCAUCAUCCUUUUCCAGAACCUAGACUCUCCUGUCCAUUUACCUCUUCUUUGACUGAGAAGGAGCGGAAGACGCACUUAUAUCCGAUGACUUAGUACUCAAAACAAAUAAAGCAUUUUCAAGUUAAUGCAGCAAGUCAAAGAGAAUUACUCACCUAUCUCCAAAUGAAAGAAGUAGUAAAGAAUGACGUUGCAGAAUUUCUGAAAUUUGCCCAAAACGCUGCAAAAGGCUGCGCCCAAGGUUAUGAUGGCAUCUCUGAAGAUGCACUG
Molecule: long non-coding RNA, 481 nt
Organism: Athene cunicularia (burrowing owl)
Lineage: Eukaryota; Metazoa; Chordata; Aves; Strigiformes; Strigidae
Exons: 3
Source: RefSeq, a predicted model, not a curated record